This 257-nucleotide unclassified non-coding RNA is filed under the name plant metagenome. Its description in RNAcentral is "partial contains small subunit ribosomal RNA, internal transcribed spacer 1, and 5.8S ribosomal RNA". The record is from RNAcentral.
GGAAGUAAAAACAAGGUUUCCGUAGGUGAACCUGCGGAAGGAUCACUAUUGAAUGAAACACUUCUGGCUUUAUGCUGUUGUGCUGGCCCUUUGGGCAAUGUGCACACGGCUCUGGUCACUUGUUUCUUCUGUUCCACCUGUGCACUGCCUGUAGACACGCUGUGUCUAUGAUAUUUGUUAACACACAACAAUGUUAGUUGGCAUGUUAUAUAUAAUAAUAAAAUAUACAACUUUCAACAACGGAUCUCUUGGCUCUC